CGAGAGUGAGCUGCAGGGGGAUGACGGAGACUUUUCUCCUACUAAUACUGCAGCGAGUGCUCUUCAGGCCGGGCAAGAGAUGGCUGAGGAGGAUGAUUUAGAUCCUCAACCUCGUCAGCCAUCCUGCCCCGUGUACGCAGAGUUGGUGGAAGUUAUGGAGCGCGCCACUGACAAACUUCAGUUGCCAUGGCGGCGCGCUCAGGGAGAGAUCGUUCGCGGUCGUUUGGAUGAUCGGUUUCUCCCUGAACAUAGACCACCAGCUCAGCAGAGCCUUCCAUUCCUUCCUGAUCUCCAUUCAGAGAUCGAGAGGGCAUGGAAGAAACCGUACUCUGCCCGUAUUCCUCGACAUCAGCGGGGUAACUUCAAUGAUGUUGAGGGGAUAGGUGAGUACGGUUAUGUGUCGAUGCCGCCCGUUGACGAGACGUUUGCGAACUAUCUCGUUUCUGGGCGGGUGUCGACACUAAAAGCUCAGACUCUGCCAUCCAAGCCCCUUAAAACCACGGCUCGCUUGAAUGGCAGAGCGUACACGGCAGCAGGUCAGGCUGGUGCUGCCCUUCAUACCAUGGCAGUGCUCCAAGCCUACCAAGCUGACCUGCUGCAGGAUCUCGACCAGGGGGCAGGGCUGUCCCCUGAGGCGGUCGCUGAGUUGCGCCGGACCACAGAUUUGUCCCUCCGGGCCACUAAACAGACUGCUGCCGCGAUCGGCCGAUCGAUGGCGGCGAUGGUGGCCACAGAGAGGCAUCUGUGGCUCAACUUGGCUGAUAUCGGGGAGAAAGAAAAGUCCCUUCUCCUUGAUUCACCAGUUUCGCCUGCUAAACUUUUUGGCACCUCCGUUGAGGCGGUGGUUGGGAAGUUUAGGGAGGCGAAGGCGCGCUCGGCUGCAUUUAAGACCUGUAUACCGCUGAGAUCCGGGCCCCAGCCCAGGCAGGCGGGAGGACCUGGUCCGUCUUGGUCUGAGGACCGUAGGCAGGACCAGAGGUCUAGUGUCGCCUCUCGUGCCCCCCCUCCAUGGAGGAGUAGGACACAGAGGAGGCGAGCCUCCCGCAAAAAGAGGGACUUAAGGAAG
This 1066-nucleotide long non-coding RNA is filed under the name Carassius auratus (goldfish). RNAcentral's name for it is "lncRNA (ENSCARG00000036986.1)". The record is from RNAcentral. Lineage: Eukaryota; Metazoa; Chordata; Actinopteri; Cypriniformes; Cyprinidae.